This 497-nucleotide ribosomal RNA is filed under the name uncultured bacterium. RNAcentral describes it as "partial 16S ribosomal RNA". It matches the Rfam family "Bacterial small subunit ribosomal RNA", at positions 29 to 507 of the family's 1533-position model. The record is from RNAcentral.
AAUGAACGCUGGCGGCGUGCCUAAUACAUGCAAGUCGAGCGGCAAGACAGUAAGCUUUCUCCUCUGCGGUUGGCGGCGGGCGGGCGGGUGACGCGUGGAUCGCCUUCCUCUUUUUCUGGGGUGACUUCGGGAGACCGGUGACGCUACUACAUAAUAUAUUCAACCGCAUGGAGCAAUAGAGCAUGGCGGUUUUGCUGUUUCUAUUAGCCGAUUCCGCGCCGCAUUAGCUAGUUGGUAAGGUAACGGCUUACCAAGGCGACGAUGCGUAGCCGACCUGAGAGGAUGAUCGGCCACACUGGAACUGAGACACGGUCCAGACUCCUACGGGAGGCAGCAGUAGGGAAUAUUCCACAAUGGGCGAAAGCCUGACCCAGCAAUGCCGCGUGAGUGAAGAAGGUCUUCGGGUCGUAAAGCUCUUUUGUUAGGGAAGAACAGCUGUGGAUUAAACUACGCACGUCUUGACGGUACCUAAACAGUAAGCCACGGCUAACUACGUG